RNAcentral lists this ribosomal RNA (445 nucleotides) under uncultured bacterium. Its description in RNAcentral is "partial 16S ribosomal RNA". It matches the Rfam family "Bacterial small subunit ribosomal RNA", at positions 354 to 796 of the family's 1533-position model. The record is from RNAcentral.
GUGAGGAAUAUUGCGCAAUGGAGGCAACUCUGACGCGGCCAUGCCGCGUGCAGGAAGAAGGCGCUACGCGUUGUAAACUGCUUUUAACCGGGAAGAAACCCCAGGACGUGUCCUGGGUUGACGGUACCGGAGGAAUAAGCACCGGCUAACUUCGUGCCAGCAGCCGCGGUAAUACGAAGGGUGCAAGCGUUAUCCGGAUUCAUUGGGUUUAAAGGGUGCGUAGGCGGAGCGUUAAGUCAGUGGUGAAAUCCUGCAGCUUAACUGUAGACUUGCCAUUGAUACUGGCGCUCUUGAGUGCGCUUGAAGUGGGCGGAAUGUGCCGUGUAGCGGUGAAAUGCUUAGAUAUGGCACAGAACACCAAUUGCGAAGGCAGCUCACUAAGGCGAUACUGACGCUGAGGCACGAAAGCGUGGGGAUCGAACAGGAUUAGAAACCCGAGUAGUCC